This 201-nucleotide unclassified non-coding RNA is filed under the name Hevea brasiliensis (rubber tree). The record is from RNAcentral. Lineage: Eukaryota; Viridiplantae; Streptophyta; Magnoliopsida; Malpighiales; Euphorbiaceae.
UAACAAAUAAGAUCCAAAUGAUACAUGAUGUGUAAAACAGGAGAAUCAAUGUCAUCAAUGGCGUAAUUGGUCUUCAAUUUGAAUUCUUCAUUGCUUAAGGAAUGCAUGACUGUUGGCCGAGCUACGAACGGAUGGUUUAAUUUAAUGUAAUGUAAUUUCCAUAGGGCCAACAAAAGUUUGUCAACUAUGGAGGGCGCGUGG